RNAcentral lists this ribosomal RNA (460 nucleotides) under uncultured bacterium. RNAcentral's name for it is "partial 16S ribosomal RNA". It matches the Rfam family "Bacterial small subunit ribosomal RNA", at positions 338 to 795 of the family's 1533-position model. The record is from RNAcentral.
CCUACGGGAGGCAGCAGUGAGGAAUAUUGGUCAAUGGGCGGGAGCCUGAACCAGCCAAGUCGCGUGAGGGAAGACGGCCCUAUGGAUUGUAAACCUCUUUAGGCGGGGAGCAAUGCCGGCCACGUGUGCCCGGAGGGAGAGUACCCGCAGCAUAAGCAUCGGCUAACUCCGUGCCAGCAGCCGCGGUAAUACGGAGGAUGCGAGCGUUAUCCGGAUUUAUUGGGUUUAAAGGGUGCGUAGGCGGAUUGCUAAGUCAGCGGUAAAAUGUCCGGGCUCAACCUGGCCCCGCCGUUGAAACUGGGGUUCUUGAGUGGGCGAGAAGUAUGCGGAAUGCGUGGUGUAGCGGUGAAAUGCAUAGAUAGCACGCAGAAAUCCGAUUGCGAAGGCAGCAUACCGGCGCCCAACUGACGCUGAGGCACGAAAGCGUGGGUAUCGAACAGGAUUAGAUACCCGAGUAGUC